This 512-nucleotide ribosomal RNA is filed under the name uncultured bacterium. RNAcentral describes it as "partial 16S ribosomal RNA". It matches the Rfam family "Bacterial small subunit ribosomal RNA", at positions 28 to 507 of the family's 1533-position model. The record is from RNAcentral.
GAUGAACGCUGGCGGCGUGCCUAAUACAUGCAAGUCGAACGAAACUUCUUUAUCACCGAGUGCUUGCGCUCACCGAUAAAGAGUUGAGUGGCGAACGGGUGAGUAACACGUGGGCAACCUGCCCAAAAGAGGGGGAUAACACUUGGAAACAGGUGCUAAUACCGCAUAACCAUAGUUACCGCAUGGUAACUAUGUAAAAGGUGGCUAUACUACCGCUUUUGGAUGGGCCCGCGGCGCAUUAGCUAGUUGGUAGGGUAAAGGCUUACCAAGGCAAUGAUGCGUAGCCGAAUUGAGAGGUUGAUCGGCCACAUUGGGACUGAGACACGGCCCAAACUCCUACGGGAGGCAGCAGUAGGGAAUCUUCCACAAUGGGCGAAAGCCUGAUGGAGCAACGCCGCGUGGGUGAAGAAGGUCCUCGGAUCGUAAAACCCUGUUGUUAGAGAAGAAAGUGCGUGAGAGUAACUGUUCACGUUUCGACGGUAUCUAACCAGAAAGCCACGGCUAACUACGUG